GAUGAACGCUGGCGGCGUGCCUAAUACAUGCAAGUCGAGCGAACGGACGAGAAGCUUGCUUUUCUGAUGUUAGCGGCGGACGGGUGAGUAACACGUGGAUAACCUACCUAUAAGACUGGGAUAACUUCGGGAAACCGGAGCUAAUACCGGAUAAUAUUUUGAAACGCAUGGUUCAAAAGUGAAAGACGGUCUUGCUGUCACUUAUAGAUGGAUCCGCGCUGCAUUAGCUAGUUGGUAAGGUAACGGCUUACCAAGGCAACGAUGCAUAGCCGACCUGAGAGGGUGAUCGGCCACACUGGAACUGAGACACGGUCCAGACUCCUACGGGAGGCAGCAGUAGGGAAUCUUCCGCAAUGGGCGAAAGCCUGACGGAGCACCGCCGCGUGAGUGAUGAAGGUCUUCGGAUCGUAAACCUCUGUUAUUAGGGAAGAACAUAUGUGUAAGUAACUGUGCACAUCUUGACGGUACCUAAUCAGAAAGCCACGGCUAACUACGUG
RNAcentral lists this ribosomal RNA (497 nucleotides) under uncultured bacterium. RNAcentral's name for it is "partial 16S ribosomal RNA". It matches the Rfam family "Bacterial small subunit ribosomal RNA", at positions 28 to 507 of the family's 1533-position model. The record is from RNAcentral.